UACGGAGGGUGCGAGCGUUAAUCGGAAUCACUGGGCGUAAAGCGCACGUAGGCCGUUUUGUAAGUCGCAUGUGAAAGCCCUCGGCUCAACCGGGGAACUGCGUGCGAUACUGCUAGACUAGAGUCCUGGAGAGGGUGGCGGAAUUCCCGGUGUAGGAGUGAAAUCCGUAGAUAUCGGGAGGAACACCAGUGGCGAAGGCGGCCACCUGGACAGGUACUGACGCUGAGGUGCGAAAGUGUGGGGAGCAAACAGG
RNAcentral lists this ribosomal RNA (253 nucleotides) under uncultured bacterium. RNAcentral's name for it is "partial 16S ribosomal RNA". It matches the Rfam family "Bacterial small subunit ribosomal RNA", at positions 524 to 776 of the family's 1533-position model. The record is from RNAcentral.